Molecule: ribosomal RNA, 253 nt
Filed under: uncultured bacterium
Lineage: Bacteria
Description: partial 16S ribosomal RNA
Rfam family: Bacterial small subunit ribosomal RNA
Source: RNAcentral
UACAGAGGGUGCAAGCGUUGUUCGGAAUUAUUGGGCGUAAAGGGCGCGUAGGCGGCCUGGCAAGUGGAAGGUGAAAUCCCUCGGCUUAACCGAGGAACUGCCCUCCAAACUGCUUGGCUUGAGUCCGGGAGAGGUGAGUGGAAUUCCCAGUGUAGCGGUGAAAUGCGUAGAUAUUGGGAGGAACACCAGUGGCGAAGGCGGCUCACUGGACCGGAACUGACGCUGAGGCGCGAAAGCGUGGGGAGCAAACGGG